GGGUUUCCCCGCCCGCCGUAACGCAGGAUUACCAAGUUGCAGAUAUCAACUGCGAUUUCAGUGGCGACCCUAGCGGCCUGGGCCAGGAGAGGCUCUCGGCGCGGCUCAAGAAGCCCCCGGCCUUCAAGGGGCACCCGCUCUUCGCCGACGACAGGAGGGCCGACCCCUUCAGCGACGACGAGUGCCAGAUCCGCCAAGACGAGGGCGACGGCCCGGGCGGGUUUA
This is a long non-coding RNA of Penaeus monodon (black tiger shrimp), 225 nucleotides long. RefSeq lists it as uncharacterized. The record is from RefSeq and is a predicted model, not a curated record. NCBI's taxonomy places the organism in Eukaryota, Metazoa, Arthropoda, Malacostraca, Decapoda, Penaeidae. The transcript has 3 exons.